RNAcentral lists this long non-coding RNA (366 nucleotides) under Capsella rubella. RNAcentral describes it as "long non-coding RNA (CRUB_LNC004815)". The record is from RNAcentral. Lineage: Eukaryota; Viridiplantae; Streptophyta; Magnoliopsida; Brassicales; Brassicaceae.
UCGUACAUGACAAAUAAAUAUUCCAUUUACGUACUACGUACUACUGACCGUGUGGAUGUAACAUUCCGUAUAUUCCAAUUUUAUUAUCUUGAAUUGAGAUUAGAGUAAAAUCAUAGGUUGAAGAAAGGGUAUGAAGCACUUUGAUCGGUAAGGCCCAAACCUUUUGGUAAAAAAAAAAAAAAAAAAGCUUUGAUCGGUAACCGAUAAUCGUCACUAAUAAAGAAAGUUAUCUCUUUGAUUAGAAACAAACAUUGUUAUUAUUAUUAAAUCGAAAACAUGAUAACUAUAUUAUACACAUAUAUGGGUGUCAUCAGCUGAUUAAUUAUGAUGUUGCUUUUGGUGGAGGAAAAGGUCAUAAGAUAUGUA